AGAGUUUGAUCAUGGCUCAGGAUGAACGCUAGCGGCAGGCUUAACACAUGCAAGUCGAGGGGUAUAGGUUUUCGGACCUAGAGACCGGCGCACGGGUGCGUAACGCGUAUGCAAUCUACCUUUUACAGAGGGAUAGCCCAGAGAAAUUUGGAUUAAUACCUCAUAGUAUUAUUGAAUGGCAUCAUUUAAUAAUUAAAGUCACAACGGUAAAAGAUGAGCAUGCGUCCCAUUAGCUAGUUGGUAAGGUAACGGCUUACCAAGGCAACGAUGGGUAGGGGUCCUGAGAGGGAGAUCCCCCACACUGGUACUGAGACACGGACCAGACUCCUACGGGAGGCAGCAGUGAGGAAUAUUGGUCAAUGGGCGCAAGCCUGAACCAGCCAUGCCGCGUGCAGGAUGACGGUCCUAUGGAUUGUAAACUGCUUUUGUACAGGAAGAAACAUCUCUACGUGUAGAGACUUGACGGUACUGUAAGAAUAAGGAUCGGCUAACUCCGUGCCAGCAGCCGCGGUAAUACGGAGGAUCCAAGCGUUAUCCGGAAUCAUUGGGUUCAAAGGGUCCGUAGGCGGUUUUGUAAGUCAGUGGUGAAAGCCCAUCGCUCAACGGUGGAACGGCCAUUGAUACUGCAAGACUUGAAUUAUUAGGAAGUAACUAGAAUAUGUAGUGUAGCGGUGAAAUGCUUAGAGAUUACAUGGAAUACCAAUUGCGAAGGCAGGUUACUACUAAUGGAUUGACGCUGAUGGACGAAAGCGUGGGGAGCGAACAGGAUUAGAUACCCUAGUAGUCC
RNAcentral lists this ribosomal RNA (787 nucleotides) under uncultured bacterium. RNAcentral describes it as "bacterial SSU rRNA". It matches the Rfam family "Bacterial small subunit ribosomal RNA", at positions 8 to 796 of the family's 1533-position model. The record is from RNAcentral.